UUGGAGGGCAAGUCUGGUGCCAGCAGCCGCGGUAAUUCCAGCUCCAAUAGCGUAUAUUAAAGUUGUUGCAGUUAAAAAGCUCGUAGUUGAAUUUCGGGAUCAGACUGUCGGUCGUGCCUCGGUACGCACUGGCAUUAUUGGUUCCUACCUUCUGAAGAACCGCGAUGUCAUUAAUUUGGUGUCGUGGGGAAUCAGGACUGUUACUUUGAAAAAAUUAGAGUGUUUAAAGCAGGCGCACGCUUGAAUACAUUAGCAUGGAAUAAUGAAAUAGGACGUUUGAUUCUAUUUUGUUGGUUUCUAGGAUCGACGUAAUGAUUAAUAGGGAUAGUUGGGGGCAUUAGUAUUCAAUUGUCAGAGGUGAAAUUCUUGGAUUUAUUGAAGGCUAACUACUGCGAAAGCAUUUGCCAAGGAUGUUUUCAUUAAUCAAGAACGAAAGUUAGGGGAUCGAAGACGAUCAGAUACCGUCGUAGUCUUAACCAUAAACUAUGCCGACUAGGGAUCGGAUGAUGUUAAUUUUUUAAUGACUCAUUCGGCGCCUUACGGGAAAC
This 548-nucleotide ribosomal RNA is filed under the name uncultured Glomus. Its description in RNAcentral is "SSU rRNA". It matches the Rfam family "Eukaryotic small subunit ribosomal RNA", at positions 548 to 1098 of the family's 1831-position model. The record is from RNAcentral. Lineage: Eukaryota; Fungi; Glomeromycota; Glomeromycetes; Glomerales; Glomeraceae.